CAUCCUUAUGGGAUAAUUUUCAUAUUGACUGUCCUUUUAUGGGAGGUUCUUCUUUAAUGUGAGAUGCUUAUAUGUGACAGGUUUUAUUUUUUUGUAUUUAUUUUUUGUUUUGUUUUUUGUACCUUUGGUGAUGCCUAAAUUUCAUGUAAUUCUGUGGGGGUGAAUGUAACGGAGUUAAAAAGAACAUUGAUUAUGAUAUUAAUGGAUGUUGAAUUCCAUGAAAUUAGAGGGUAAAUUCAAAUCUAAAGGUAUUUUGGUGCCCCCUAGUGGUUAAUGCAUCGCAGACAUUCUUUAUUUUGUCCUUGCAUGCUUACCGUAGUUCAGCAGAAAAUGGUUCACACUGCUGCGGGUAAGCGUGUUUCUCUUCUCUCCUGUUUAUGGUGUUUUAAAAAAGUGAUAAGUGUGUUUAAUAAGAGUUUUUCUGAUGUAAACGUUUGUAGUGAUUAUAUCAACAAAUGUGCAGUGAGUUGGAUGGGUUUAUAUGUCCGAUGGAUACUUUGUUGAGUACUUAUCGUUGUGCCUCGUUACUCAUGCUGUGAAAUUAACGUGCUACUGCUGAUGCAACAUCAGAUAGCUUAAUGGAAUACACACAGUUAUCUUCAUUUUAUGUUUUUCUUAUUUCAGUGGUUUAUGUCAGCAGUGUUAUCACCCUGUCUAAUAAUACAUUUUGAUGUAUUUCUCAGACACAAAUAUCAUUGCUGCGGAGAAUAAAAGAGAGAAAAGACAACCAGAGUCUUGUGUGCAUCGUCCAUUCAAAAUUUGUGACGGUUGUGUGGGAUGUAUUAAGGCCACAUUGGGGACAACAAUCGUUACACAUUUAACCCAUCCAAAGUGCACACACACAGCAGUGAACACACACCCAGGGUACCCAGGGAGCAGUUGAGGGUUCAGUGCCUUGCUCAAGGGCACCUCAGUCAUGGUAUUAAAGGUGGAGAGAGCGCUGUACAUUCACUCCCCCCACCUACAAUCCCUGUUGGCGCAAAACUCGAACUCGUAAUCUUUCGAUUAUGAGUCUGAAUCUCUAACCAUUAGGCCAUGACUUUCCUUAAAACAUGAUAGCUACAAACAUGUCAUGAAAGUGAAGUACUGACAAUGUAGAUCAACUUGUGCAACUAUAGUAAUAAUAUACAGUAUGUUACUUUAGAAUGAUACAUGUAGAACGAUACAUGUAUUCGUACCGAACCGUCACGGUACGGACACCUAGGUUCGGUGCAUGAGGCCUUACAAUGAAUACAGGCAAUUCACCCCCAAUCCAGAAGGGGGAGCCCCACAGCAAUGCAACGCUGUUUGAUAACCGGCCACCAGCAGAAAAACAGCGAAUGCCAUGAGUUGCGCACUUGAAAACAAAGCCCACUAGACAGUGACCAUGUGCUGACUCUGAAUGCAUCUCUCACAGACUGACAAAGGAGUAUACUUUAAAGGCUUGUUUACUCAACUGUUUGCGAAAUGGAGCUUUGUGCUCGUGUAUCCUACCGCUCUCAUUCGGCACAGAUCCAAAUAUUCCAUAAUAUUUCCAUAUUUGUGAUGUAAUGUAUCUAAAUGCUAAACUAUUAUUUACUAUGUAAAAUUAUAGGCUUUGUACUUCAGUUCUAAUGGUGACACAGAGGUGGGCGCGCUGAUGUUUGGUUCACUGAAUUUUAUUUUGAUAAAGUACCAACUGCAUUGUCAAGUUAGCAAUGCUGGAACUGAUGUGUUUUGUAUGUGUGUGUGUGUGUGUGUGUGUGUAUGUGUGUGACGCGGUGCAACUGUUUCCUAAUACCAGCAGAUUCAACUUUAAACACUUAUUGUCUUAUUAAUAAUGCAUCACUGUAUAAAGGUCUUCUUUUAUUUCUGAACACUCAC
Cyprinus carpio carpio is the source of this 1842-nucleotide long non-coding RNA. The record is from Ensembl. NCBI's taxonomy places the organism in Eukaryota, Metazoa, Chordata, Actinopteri, Cypriniformes, Cyprinidae.